Molecule: ribosomal RNA, 259 nt
Filed under: uncultured bacterium
Lineage: Bacteria
Description: partial 16S ribosomal RNA
Rfam family: Bacterial small subunit ribosomal RNA
Source: RNAcentral
UACGUAGGGUCCGAGCGUUGUCCGGAAUUACUGGGCGUAAAGAGCUCGUAGGUGGUUUGUCGCGUUGUUCGUGAAAACUCACAGCUCAACUGUGGGCGUGCGGGCGAUACGGGGCAGACUUGAAGUACUGCAGGGGGAGACUGGAAUUCCCUGGUGUAGCGGUGGAAUGCGCCAGAUAUCAGGAGGAACACCGGUGGCGAAGGCGGGUCUCUGGGCAGUAACUGACGCUGAGGAGCGAAAGCGUGGGGAGCGAACAGGA